RNAcentral lists this ribosomal RNA (504 nucleotides) under uncultured bacterium. RNAcentral's name for it is "partial 16S ribosomal RNA". It matches the Rfam family "Bacterial small subunit ribosomal RNA", at positions 28 to 523 of the family's 1533-position model. The record is from RNAcentral.
GAUGAACGCUAGCGGCAGGCCUAAUACAUGCAAGUCGGACGGGAUCCAUCGGUAGCUUGCUACCGAUGGUGAGAGUGGCGCACGGGUGCGUAACGCGUGAGCAACCUGCCCAUAUCAGGGGGAUAGCCCGGAGAAAUCCGGAUUAACACCGCAUGACACUGCUUUCCGGCAUCGGGAGGCGGUCAAAUAUUCAUAGGAUAUGGAUGGGCUCGCGGUACAUUAGUAAGUUGGUGGGGUAACGGCCCACCAAGGCGACGAUGUCUAGGGGCUCUGAGGGGAGAAUCCCCCACACUGGUACUGAGACACGGACCAGACUGCUACGGGAGGCAGCAGGAAGGAAUAUUAGUCAAUGGGGGCAACCCUGAACCAGCCAUGCCGCGUGCAUGACGACUGCCCGAUGGGUUGUAAACUGCAUUUGUUAGGGAAUAAACCCCGCUACGUGUAGCGGGCUGAAUGUACCUAAAGAAUAAGGAUCGGCUAACUCCGUGCCAGCCGCCGCGGUAA